RNAcentral lists this ribosomal RNA (225 nucleotides) under uncultured bacterium. Its description in RNAcentral is "partial 16S ribosomal RNA". It matches the Rfam family "Bacterial small subunit ribosomal RNA", at positions 15 to 222 of the family's 1533-position model. The record is from RNAcentral.
GAUCAUGGCUCAGGAUGAACGCUGGCGGCGUGCCUAACACAUGCAAGUCGAACGAAGCAAUUAAGAUGAAGUUUUCGGAUGGAAUCUUGAUUGACUGAGUGGCGGACGGGUGAGUAACGCGUGGAUAACCUGCCUCACACUGGGGGAUAACAGUUAGAAAUGACUGCUAAUACCGCAUAAGCGCACAGUGCCGCAUGGCAGUGUGUGAAAAACUCCGGUGGUGUG